RNAcentral lists this transfer RNA (69 nucleotides) under zebrafish metagenome. It matches the Rfam family "tRNA". From Rfam's summary of the family: Transfer RNA (tRNA) molecules are approximately 80 nucleotides in length. Their secondary structure includes four short double-helical elements and three loops (D, anti-codon, and T loops). Further hydrogen bonds mediate the characteristic L-shaped molecular structure. tRNAs have two regions of fundamental functional importance: the anti-codon, which is responsible for specific mRNA codon recognition, and the 3' end, to which the tRNAs corresponding amino acid is attached (by aminoacyl-tRNA synthetases). tRNAs cope with the degeneracy of the genetic code in two manners: having more than one tRNA (with a specific anti-codon) for a particular amino acid; and 'wobble' base-pairing, i.e. permitting non-standard base-pairing at the 3rd anti-codon position. The record is from RNAcentral.
CGGGGUAGCUCAGUCGGUAGAGCAACUGAUUCGUAAUCAGUAGGUCGGAGGUUCGAUUCCUCUCCCCGG